GUUUCCACAGUGUAGUGGUUAUUACGUGUGCCUUAUUUGUAAAAGCUCCCUAGUUCGAAACUGGGCGGAAACA
Molecule: transfer RNA, 73 nt
Filed under: Danionella cerebrum
Lineage: Eukaryota; Metazoa; Chordata; Actinopteri; Cypriniformes; Danionidae
Description: tRNA-Ile
Source: RNAcentral